Molecule: unclassified non-coding RNA, 98 nt
Organism: Colobus angolensis palliatus
Lineage: Eukaryota; Metazoa; Chordata; Mammalia; Primates; Cercopithecidae
Rfam family: Y RNA
About the family: Y RNAs are components of the Ro ribonucleoprotein particle (Ro RNP), in association with Ro60 and La proteins. The Y RNAs and Ro60 and La proteins are well conserved, but the function of the Ro RNP is not known. In humans the RNA component can be one of four small RNAs -- hY1, hY3, hY4 and hY5.
Source: Ensembl
AGCUGGUCUGAUGCUAAUGGGUUAUCAAUACUUAUUAAUAUUAGUGUCACUAAAAAGUUGGCAUACAUUCCAGCACUGCUAAACCUGACCGAUUUAUU